Molecule: non-coding RNA, 9709 nt
Organism: Taeniopygia guttata (zebra finch)
Lineage: Eukaryota; Metazoa; Chordata; Aves; Passeriformes; Estrildidae
Source: RefSeq, a predicted model, not a curated record
GAUCUUGGCAGAUCAGGAAGGAUGUCUUGGCCCUGCAGCAUUUAAGUAUGUUCAUAAGCACACAUAUGGAAAUAUAGGGCAGUGAAUCUGGGCUCUAUGAGGACCCACAGGAAGGUGAAUUCUUUGUGACUUUCAAGAGCCUAAGGCUAUAGCCUCAGCAUAUCACUGAGAAGUGUUGCAUGGUAUUUUUGACUUUAAAAAACACCAAAUAAAGUAUUGUUAGACCUUUAUCACAUUUUCUUUAAAAACUGUAAAGCUGGUGAGUGAAACAGAAAAAUAGUGGAACUGUGAGAGAAUCAUGAAAUAGUUGAUGUUGGAAGAGCUCUCUGAAGAUCAUCUGUGCCAAUCUCCUGCUCAGAGCAGAGGCAGCUCCAGCAGGCUCUUUAGGAAGACAAAAUAGCAAUUCUGAGCAUAAGGGUAGCAGGUUUCCAGGACCAUCCCCUCAGCUGCUUUAUGACAUCAGGCUACUCAUUAGCUACUCUGUAUCUCAGUGAUCCCAUCUGUGACAAAAAUAUAUCAAAUUCUAGCACAAUUCCUAAAUUUUCCCCAUACUUUCUAGAAAAACUUCUUUCCAAUAGGAAUGGGAGAUUCUUCUAAGAUUAUUUAGAAACCUGCUUAAACACUUUAAGACUACCUAAAACUUGUAUUCUACACUUCAGCACUGUUAACUCCUCUCCUCACAAAGUGUAACAUAAAUUCAGCAUAAAUUCAUCCAUCCAUCACUACUGGAGGAGACCUGAAUAGAUCCUGCUGACUUCCUGUAACCAGUUGAGAAUAGGGAAGCAGAUAAUCUGAAAGAACUGGAAAUUUUUUGAUGGAUGCUGUGAGUAACAUUUCAAAAAUAGUGUCAGCCAACAUUCAUUAUGAGCCCACAAUAACUACCCAUUUAAGUACCAUGCAAAAAGUAAUGGAAGACGAUAAUUCCCAUUGAACACCUUCAACAUGCCCUCUGUCCUAGAGGAACGUGCCUUAAUUUACACUGAAACUCGUUAGAAAAACACAAAAAACUUAAACCUCAACCCAAAUCCUAAAAAUAAAACCAACACCAACACCAGAAAAACAUUUAAGGUUAUGUACAUCCACUUCAGAGGAGACUUCAGACAUUUAAUGCCAAUGUUUAAGUUUCAGCUCCUGAGGAAUGCAAGACCAACAAAGGAAACUAUCGUGGUGUUUCAAAUGCCCCUCACUAUAAAAGGUCUCUGAAUUAGGGUGAAAAGCAUGAGGACUUUCCAAGGCUGUGCAGUUGAGGUUGUUACAUCAACACUUCAGCUGGGGUUUGUGCUUCUACAGCAGAUUUCCUCAUUGUCUUCAUUAAGUGAGCCUUUACUUGCUAGUCUCUCCACAGCAAAUGCCUUUGGAGAGAGCACACAGACCCUGGGAUCAGACUAGAGCAUGUCAGAGGUGGGAAAACCCCUAAACUAUGAAUAAGGAGAUCUUCACAUCUUCUGCACCAACUGCUUCCCUCCAAGUAGCCACUCUUGUCCCCACACUCAUCAUGGUGGGUACAGCUCACAGGCACUAUCUCCAUUAAUACUGUUUCCAAGAAGGAAUGAGUUGAUUUAAAUUACAAUAAUUUCUUGCAUCUCCACUUUGAGCUGCUACAAAGAACCAGAACAGGAAUUGAGUUAAAGUCCUUGUUGGUAGUCUUUCUACUUUUCCCACCACUACAGCUGUCACCUCAGUGGAUGAGAAAACUUAGAGAUAGUGCAGUGUUCCAGAUGCUAUUUAUUCAGAGGAUUUGUUUUUGAAAAAUGCUUAGUAUCUAUUUAAUCUUUGUGCUUUUAGAAGACCAAGAGGUAAAUGUGCUUUUUUUUUCUCUGAUAAUUAAUAUGAAAUUUAAAAAGGGGAAAGGGAAAUGGAUGGUAAACUGCUCCAUCACUCAUCAUUCCCCCUGUCUUCCACCCCCUCCCCUCCUCAAAAAAAAAGACUCCCAAACUAUAGCACAAGUUUGAAAGAAGUUUUGAAAACAAGUUAAUCAUUUUGGGGUUGGGCUGAAGCAGUGCUUAUGCACACUAGGAAAUAAAUGUGAUAAACAAGAUCUGGUUCUUCCUGUAUGUUGCUAUUGGUGAUUACUUUGUAUUUAAAUGUUUCAAAUAUAGAGAUCAGCCUUUCACAGAAUCCAAAUAGGAAAUUCAGCCAAACUCAAUGACUAACUGACCCCUGUUAGUCAUAUGUCCUCUCUUCAGCAAAUUACUAAUAAAUGCUUGUAGGAGGAAUGUCAGACAAGAUUGCACAUCAGUGCCAUUAGUAACUCUGGAUCGUCUUUCUUAUUCCAUGGUUGGAUAAGAAAUGCUUUGUCAUUUUCAGGAGUCAUGUAGAAGUGAAUUUCAUAUUCAUUUACACCUCUUAGCAGAGAUAACAUGGCAAGUAGCAAAUGGAUCAUCCUUUCAGCUGUGUGCUCCUGAGGGUUCAUUUAUAUUAAUUCUGGCAGUCAAGCAUGCAGUCAGAUAAAACACCUCCUAUUCCUAUUCUGGUUUCAUACGAAAUUAAAUACUGCCCAAACUUUAGGUCUGAAUGUGUGUGGGCAUAGAUAUACAUAUAUGUACACAAGCAUGGUAUGCCUACUUUUUGUUCUAUGUCAUUUCAAAUUCCCCAUUAUUAAUUAAGCCCUUUGGUAUCUCCCAGAAAAGGGUGAGCAGGGGCUUGAAAGUUCUCUGUUGCUAUUUAGCAGGACUCCUCCAUCAUAGCUGGAUAAAUGUCUUUAGAUGUUUAGAGAUGCUAUUAGGUACCCACUGGGAUCUAAAGACAUGACUCAGUGACACCAAAAUGUAAGGUCAUCACAUGUUUAAUCUACUUCAGAUUUUUUUUUUUUUUAAUCACAUGCAACAUACAUCUCUGUUUAACCUUCAAAGCAUCUUUUGUACACUUACACAUUGCUCCCAAGUGUCUAGCACUGGCUAUGCCUUCUGCUUACUGCCCUUUCAAUAUCAUCUUGAAAAAUAUGACAUUAAAAACCAAGUAGACUUUCUGUUAGUAAUAUUAAAGUUCAUGAGACUUCAAUUUUUAUGUUCUGUAAUUUAAAAAUCUGAGCAUAUAUUGCAAUGUGCUUUCUUAUCUUGUUCUUCAAAAAGAUGAAAUUUAUCUUACAUUACUACUAUCACAAUUGACUGCCUCCUUUAUAGAUGCGAAAGAAUGGGUUGAAAUAGCCAUCAAUAAGAAAAUAGUUUAAAAAUCUAGUUAAGUACAAUGUAGCAAUAACAAUAAGUAGCAGAUGCAGUAGCCAAGAAUGUCACUCAAUUGGUGUAGGAUGCUUCAGAAAAGCAAGCAUUUAAAUUAGUUACACAGAGACAGAAUAUAGGUGUAUGCUUUUGAGACAGUAGUGUAAAAAAUAAAUAGGUUUGAUAGAAGAAUAAUUCAGAAUGAUUAAUGAGAUGCUGAGCUGAAAAUAAACUGGAGCAAGAUGUUGUCCCCUCAUAGGAAGAUUGUAUGAGGGCUACAGAGCAACAGGGCUGUGGUGGUCCUUCAGAGGGGGAGGUGGCCACACAGUGAAUCUGCAAAUAAGUCAUUCCUAGCAUGUGGAGAAACCAUGGCUAGAGAAUAAGCUGCAGCAUUUGGCCUAAAGCAAUGAUCAGGCCCUAGCCCCUGGGAUCAGGGGGCACUAUUCCUAGUCCUCUCACUGCUAGAGGGGACCCUACACCUGGGAUAAUUUUUCUUAUUUAAACCAAAUAAGGAAAAACUGACUUUUUAAAAAGGUAAUUUGUUUUAACUUUCCUGACCUAAGCAGCAGGGACUGAGUUAUGUUCUAUUUGCAAGAGAGAAUCUGAAGAGAAGCUGGUUUUGGUCAAUCACUGUGCAUUUCAGUCCUGGGUUUGUCUUAAUCAUACUGGGACAAAUUUUACAUGUGACUGCGCAAGUGCAGAAGCAUAAGCAGAUUAUUCCAGCUGGGAGGUUAAAGGGGAAUCGUACUUCCAAGCAGAUACAGGAUUUCCUUGGAGGGAUCCACUUCAUGAGUGUCUGGAAGGGAGGUGUCUCUCCUGUAUCAGACUCAGUGGUGUUGCUUGUGGUUCUCAACACAUGCAGCCAGCCAGCAAGGGAGAGCUGGGGCUUGAGCUGCUCAUACCAUCUCUUAUUUAUAGAAUUAAGAGUUCCUACCUUUGUCUAUCUCUGCCACACUGUUACUGAUUUACCAAACAGGCCAUAGAAGGGUUUGAGAUACUUUGCAUGUGUUAAUGAUCACUAAUGUUUUACUGUUGCAUUUAUUCCUGUAGGGUCUACUUCAGCAAAUCUAGUGUGCAUAAUAUUUUUCAUUCAACUGAGAUAUUAUGCCUGGUAAACUUCUGAAAUCUCCCUUCACAUGGUAAAAUAAAAGAAUCUUUGUAGCCAUCGUUAAAUGCCUUCUCCACAAUAUUUAUGCUGCAAUCAGAACAAAGAAAAUGGGUGCUUUUGGCAGGAAAAAAAAACAGUCUUAAAAAGACACAGGCUAUUUUUGUUUUCUUACAAAGUAUAAAAUUCCUCAAAAUUUACAUAGUGUCACACAGCCUGCCAUAGCUUAUAAAAAAAAUUAUGCACUGCCUUUAGUUUUAUUUGGAAAAUUACACUGUGUUAACUCUUUGUGUCUUUGAGGGCACUUCUCUACAUUGCACAGUAAAGCUUCUUCCAGACAGAUGUGUGCCAUGCACACGGCUCAGAGUAACGCUGUGUGGAGAUAGUCACUCUGGAAAGGUUGGUUCAGAUCAUUUCAUCAGCACAGGGGCUGCCAGGGGCUGGGAGCCAGACUGCUCCUGGCCUGGGAAGAGGAGAGCUCUGAAUAAUGGGAAACUUGCUGCCGCUGCUGCUGCUGCUGCUGCUGCUGCUGCUGCUGCUGCUGCUGCUGCUGCUGCUGCUGCUGCUGCUGCUGCUGCUGCUGCUGCUGGAGGAACGAAGCAUGGCAGGAGUGAGGGAGGCUGCAAGGAUGAAGCACAUCUUUGAUGUCUUUCUCAGGAGCAUCAGCCAACUUGGUUUGUUUUUGUCUCUGGCAUAAGUAGUGUAGGCAACAGAAUAAUUCUCAAUGUAGCAAUUAACUGCUUGACUUGUCUGUGCUCAAUCACUUGAUUUACUAAAACGUGCCAGCAACAGAGCUCACUGACUCCAAGAACAGGUCUACACAAACAGCCUUCUAGGCUUGAGAUAGCCUGGCCAGUGCUUUCAUGGGGAUCUGUGCACCACACAUCCUUGUAUAGGUCAGACCUUCCCCCAUACUACAAAACCAUGCAUCUUUUAACCAAAACCCAAAAAAAGACCUCUCUGUGAGCUUGGUGUUCAAAAUGGGAAGCCUGAAGACAGCCUCCUAAGAAACGUUUUAAAAACUCAUCUUCUUGAUAUCCCUAAUUCAAUUUAAACCUUCUAUGAGGCAAAAUUGUGAGACAACAAAGCAGACUCUAACUCUUAGAUAUUUUAAUGAAUUAAUGAGCAUCCUCCUGUAGACAUUUGCUAGUCUUUCAAAUAGCUAAAGCAUAAGGUCAAGUGGUUUGUGACUACACUGUUACAAACCAAUGAUUUCCAAUCUUUUUCCCAAAACAGAGUAACUUUUUAAGGACAGUCUCCCCUAUAGCCAGUAUUUAUCUGAACAAGUAUUCUUUCCCAUAUAAAAUACAUGGAUGAUCACUGCCUGUUUAAAUUCCCAUGAUAAAGAUGCCAAAAAGUAUAGGUGAGAAAUCCAUAGUCUUAAUUUAUUGUCCUGUUUAUUACAAAGGAGGAAGGAGACCACAAAUGAGAUGUCUCUGCUCAGAGCAAAUGUGGUUGCAAGAAUCAAUCCUGCUUUGCACACAAAGGACUGAACUUCUGCUUAAAAGGCCAUGUAGAAAAUAACAUUGGUUUGAGUAUGCAAAGGAAACAUUUGUAAAGGGAGGCAUGAUGUCUGCAUCAAAUAUUUUCUUUGAAGGUAUGUCUUGUUGGCAAUGGUGGUAGAUUCAAGUGGCAUUAGCUGAAGUCUAAUAUUCACAUCAAAGGAGUGUGUGGCAAUAACCUCCUGUUUAGGGUGACUGAAGGUGGUAUGAAGUGGAUGUAUUCAGCAUGCAUAUAGCCAUUUAUUGUAAAGUAUAGAGUAAUGGGAAAGAUCCUCAGGACCAUCUCCUUGCUCGUCAGUGUAGCCUUAGGCAGUGGAAUCCAAAUCAGGAAUAACAGGCACAAAAUGUAGAAUAACUAGCUGAGUUUCCCCGGUAAGACUACCAGAAGCAAACCAUGUUAUGGCAAUGUUGUUCUCCAGUCUGUCAGCUUCACCAUACAUCGCUAAGACCUAUUCCAUAGAGAAAAAUGAAAUAAAAAAUAUUUUUAUAAAUGCAGAACUUGAUCAAAAUAUAAAGAGUCACAGAUUCAAAGAUUUCAUGCCUGUCCUAACCAACAUAUUGCAACAUUUUCAGUUUCUCACUGAUUUCAUAAAUCCAGUGCUCAUCAGAACUUAGCAACAAAAAACUUAAAAGAUUAAUGUCUUUCAUUCAAGUGGCUUGUGAGGCAGAUGGUCCCAAAAUUUUUAUAUAUGAAGAGCCAUUAAAAAAGUGCUGUUGUAUUUUAACAUCAUUCAUUACCUAAUUUUAAAUAUUGAGUGACUGUAUUCUAAAGUCAGAAAUGAAAAAAUCUGAUCAAAACUGCAUCUGUUGCCAAAUCUCUUUGUUAGGGAUAUGCACAUAGGAACUCACCUGCUGGCAGCAGGAACUUAGUCACUGAAUAUGAAAGAAAAUGAGUGCAGCAAAUGCAAACAAAUGUCUCAUCUAGGUCAUUAGCUAAAGAGGUCAUUUUAGAAAAAUAAUCUUUAUGUGUGUUAUCAAGAAAUCGCUCAGAUUUAAAAUGAGCAAUUACCGGAAAAUAUCCAGUGAAAGGCAGAGUAAUUCCCCUAGCUGUCAGAGACUACUGGCUGUUCAUACCAGCCUUCAUUCUAGACCUCUCUUUUAAUAUAUUUUCAAAUAAAUUCUUCGUAAGACCUCCAAGGCUCAUGAAGAUGACUGAAGUGUGAUAGACUGAUUAGUGUCUUGCCUCCAACUUUUCAUCAGUCAGCAGUUUCCUAGAAUUUCUCUGUAAUCUUUAGGACUAUGAGUCUGGAUUUGGAGAUUUAUUUUUCUCUCUUUGGCAUUUCCAAAGCUGGGUAUCUAAGUCUGCCCUUGUCACCCUUAACCCUUUCUACAAUUAAGCAGGAGUAAAAGGCGAUUCCAAUGGGGAUUUGCUCCACCUUAACGAAAAUAUUUAAAUCGUGUGAAAUAAAUCCCUUCUGUGAACACUGCUCCUCUUUAUCUUCUCUAGCAUUAGAGGAAAUGAGGAACAAUUGUUGUGGACUUCAGCAUCUGUCUCUGAGACAUCUACAGUCAGAUGAGAUGAAUCUUAACUUGCAAGAGAAAUAUUUGUCCCAAUACCAGCUGAAGUUACUACACAAUGUACUGCUUUGGGGACCUGGUGGUGUCUGGUAAAAAUUACUAGGAACCAGAACAAAAACCCUGGGUUCUCAUAUUUGUAUUGUAAUAUUUGUACUUGUAUUUGAAUCACUGUGUACUUUGUUGCAGACUACCUGCCCACCAAAGACAGCUGGGAAAAGGAUCGUGCAUGGAGCAGCUAUGCCAGCCUGUGUUUGUUUUCUCUGCACCAGCCCUUAUGGCAAACAGAAAAUGUGAUCAUGGCCAGGACAGAGAUGGUGGGAUGAAUGCUUCCCAGAGCACACACAGUUGUACAUACAGACAGCUUUGCAAAGUGGAAGAAAGUGAUCCCUACCUCUGUGCCCUGGGUUCUCUCCUGCUUCAAAUUCUUGCAGCUUAUGAGUGUUUGUUAUCAGUUACAUUACCAAAACAAGCACUGCAAUUACUUCUUUAUAUAUCAAUAAAGACAUGUCUGUACUACCUAAAAGCAGAAUUGCCAGUAUUCCCUGUUGGCAUGAUGUCUGACAUCAAGUGGGGCAAUAACCACACAGAAACAGAGGAAAUAAAAAGAAUCUUUUUUUAAUAAAAGACAUUGUACUAGAGUUGGGGAGAUUUAAAUGAAAGGAAUAUUUUUCAAUCCAAGAAGAGCCGCUACACAACCAGCCCAUUUUUUGCUGUACUUUUUGCCUUGCAGUCCAUUAAUGAUUUGGCAUGCUAGUUUCAAGAGAAAAGGGGGAUCUCAAUGGGAGAACAGGUCAUAAGUGUGAUAAGUGUGCUGGGUGCUGCAGAUAUUAACCUCUUCCUUAAAUAUGGGAAGAGCAAAAUUCAUGCAAUGUGUGUGAAUUAGAAACAACAACACAGUGCUAGGGUAGCAGGACCUUUUCUACCUUUUGUGUAACAGAAAGGAAUUACCUCAGAAGAGACUUAACCUGCAGUCCAUGCUCAGGGAAUAUUCACUCCAAAAUUUGAACAUGUGGAGGCAUCCAAAAAGAGAAGGGGUAGAGCUGUGAUUUUGGGCAAACAUGGGGUUCAAACCAGGGUUUUACUAAGGGUGAUAGACCUCUCACUCUAGUCUUUUUCUGAACACAUGUUUGAGUGGUUUAUUUUAGAUUUACAUCUGCUCUAUAUUUUUAUAAAAAAGAAAUCCUUCACAAUGGUGGUGGUGAUUUUUUUUUUUAUGAAAGGAUAUGGUUAAUAAUAAUGGUAAGUGUUAAUAAAUUCAGUCAACUCCUGUGCAACGGACAUAAUGCUCUUGGCAUCCCUGCAAGAAACAAAGCAGAACAAUUAUGAGUCAUCAAAUGUAUUUGUCAGAGGAUUUUGUGUGGUAAAAAAAAGCCUGUUCAUGUUAGCAUAGUGCUGAAAGACAAGGAGUGAAUUAUAGCUUGGAAAGUGAUGGGAUAGAUAUAAAAUCCAAGGGUCCAGAGGCCAACUGACUAUAUAGACUCAGCUGGAGACAGAAAAUACAUGUUAUGUAUUUUUUCAAUGGAUUCUUCCAUUUAUCCUGUUAAGAAGUAGUGACUCCCCAAAUCAAAUGUGAGUUAGGCUAGAAUUUUAAUCAUACUAGAAAUGUUGCCACUGCAAUUGGUGUUUGAAGCUCUUCUAACUGAUAGUUAUGCUAUUUGUUCUACUGUGAAUGCAGAGAACCAGCGACACAGAAACAGGAGCUGUGGAUAACAGGAGAGGCACAGUGGCAUGCAGGCAACUCUGUGAGAAGUUCCUGAUGAAGUGGUGCAUAUGUGUCCUCUUUUUGUGGAUGCUGGUGUCAAGGGGAAUCCUGGACCUGUUCUGAUAACCUAGAGUUUACAAGCAGCAUUCUCAGAAACGUUAAAUUUCCUUUUGUCAUUGCCCUGAUAAGGCUCUCUAAAGGUACAGGCCGAUGAGAAUCUGUGUGUUGGCAUUCUAAUACUAGUUACUAGGAAUAAUUUAGGGAAAUUACUCAAUUCUUUAUGGUAUAGUGGAAGAACUUUAUUACUCUCUUUUAUAUUUUUCUAGGAAAAGAAAUGUGUCUGCAAUUGGAGAUUUUUUUCUUAUUACAAUGAAGAUGUGAAAUAAGCAAAAAGCAGUUUUGUAUGUACCUUCAGGGUUUGAAUUUAAGAUAACUAAUGAAGAAUUUGAAAACACCUGGAUUGAUUUUCUUCAGACAUGUAAAGUACCUCCAGUUGUGCAGGAGCUGAAGUGUUCAAUGUAAGGACGUCACCAAACUUGAAUUUUCUCACUGUGGUGGAGGUUGGAUACAACUGGACAAUAAGCUGGGAAUGGCCAUGGAGGGAACUGAAGCCUUUUCAAAAGAGGACUGGAUGAAAAGCUCAUGAAACAAAUCCUAAAUAAUUUGUCUUCAGCUCUGUCUCUCUCUAUAUAUAUCUAUAUAUAAUAAACGGAUACAAAUUUCA